This 41334-nucleotide long non-coding RNA is filed under the name Capsicum annuum. Its description in RNAcentral is "long non-coding RNA (CANN_LNC007014)". The record is from RNAcentral. Lineage: Eukaryota; Viridiplantae; Streptophyta; Magnoliopsida; Solanales; Solanaceae.
UGGACUGACCGUGACUGCGGCCUGAGGACUGCAAUUGCAGUAACUGAGGUUGACUACUUCAGGUUUCUAGAUGCAAUCCUUUUGCUUCUAUUUGCUCCCUUUUUAGCUCCAUUCCACAUGUGCUCACCUUUUCCACUUUAUACCUGCAAAAUGUGUGUGUUAGUGCACUUAAAUCCAUAUAAUACCUUAGUUUCUAAUACAAAACAUAGCAGUAUGCAUGCAUGAUUAUUACGGAUAAGUGGUAGGAUUACCACUCAUCACAACUCCCGGUGGUCUAAAUCUUGAGAUGUUAAUUUCAAAGUUCGAAUAGGAUCAAGAUAUGAUUGCUAUGUUAUAAGGAAGAGGCCAUUUUCAUAUGACAUGAAUUGGAUCGGGGUAAAUAGAAUUCUUAUAGUCAUGAACCUGAAAAAAUAUUUUGUGACUCUUGAGAUACUCCUCCAUAAGAGACACAUAAAUGCUUAUGAUUACAACUUACUAUACUUUGAGGACUAGGGAUUCUUAAGCAAAGCGCAACCACUAUUGGACUUGCUGCCCAAAUUGUUGUAGGAAAGUGACUUAAUGCACGACUUGCCAGAGAAAGUGUUAAAAAAACAACAAUUGAAGAUCGAAAAAAGGACCUUGAAAAAAAUGACACUGGUGCCGUGUGCAAGUCAUACUCUCUUGCAUAUAACGAAUGAUUGCUAACCAACACCGAAAUGCCAUUACCAAGGACCUUACUAAAUGACAACACUAGGGAAAGAAUGCAAGCAAGAGGUCUAGACUGUUUUGAUUCUAUAUCAAAGUUUGAACCCUGUGUUUAAAAACAUAUAAUUUUUUUCUAAGUUUUUAACUUAGUUGUAUAUUGUUUAAGUAAUGAUAAUUUUUUUUAUGUUUAAUGACAAUUGUAUUGUUUUAUUAAAUUUGCAAACUUAUGCAUUAGUACAAAAAAUAAUUACAAUUAUUUUAAUUUGUUCCAACAGACGAACCAUCUGUUGCAACAGAUAGUCCAUCUGUUGGAACAAUUCAAACCAGUACGAAGGCCUAUUUGAUAAUUUACAACGGAUGUGCCAUCUAUCGUAACGGAUCCAUUAUCUAUUGCAAUAUUUGAAUCUACUAUUCUAUUUUAAUUAAUUAGUUCAAAUCUAAGGAAAAAUAAAAUUCAUAGACAAAAUAAAAUAAAUCAAAGCCUUCACAAAUUAUAUUAAGCAAAUCAACAAAUAAAUAAAAUGUAAAAAUUUGGUAUGCAUGCAAAUGAUAAAUCUUUACAAUGUAAGUUUUGAAGCCAAUAAUUCCUAAGGAGAGGAGAGUUUAUUACUUUGACAAGAUUCAAGCUAUAAAGAUCUACUUAAUAUUGACCAGUUGUUCUUUAUUCAGUGGUGUGGAUUUCAGCUUUGGUCAUCGUGGAUCUUUAAUGUCACUUACGCACUAAUUCUCACCUUUCACGUCUAUCAUUUGGUAGUUGUAAUCCAUCGCUCAAAUACUCGACCUAAGUGACAACAAAAAGAAUGCAAUCUCUGCGAUUGUAAAAAUUGGAUAAUACAUAUCUUGUAAUUAAUAAAAGAGUUGUGAAAUUUAUGAAACUAAAUUAUGAAACUUACAUGCUACCAUUAGAUUGUUGAGUAAUUCCUUCAAAAUAUUCUACAUCAAAUGAGUUAUUCAUUUUAUCCCGAUAUACUUCAAUCGUCGACCAAUCAGUAUGAAUCUUUUGGUCCAAAAAUCCACUUAAUUCAAUGUAAGUAGGCAAUAUUUUGGCCAAGUUUUGUAUCUCAGACAAUGACCUAGAAUGUUUCCUUGUUGACAUUAAAUCAUAAACUCGGAUGCGCCUCUCUUUUAGAACAACGACAACCAACACCCAAUGGAAUUUACCAUCAUAAUUGAUCGGGAUGUAUACUUUGUCCAUCAAAUGUCAAGGUAAGCCAGUUGGAAUGCUAAAACCUUUGAUGAUGUUGAUUAAACAUUCCUUACUUCGGGGCACUUCCAGCUUUUGUUGACAAAGACCGUAGGCCUUAUUGAUGUAAACUUUGAAUAAAUAGUUGCCUGCCAUGUAUUUGUAUUAUUGUCAUGUUUGCAACUUGGCCUUCUUUUGAAGGUAGUAAAAACUAACAUCGACAUGCUGCAAAUAUUAUCAAACAUUCAGAUUAUGUAAUAAUAAAAUUAAUAAAUAAAUACAAUUAAAUAACCCCCAAUAAACCUUAUUAUUAUAGCAAGUUUGGGGCCGUGACAUCAAAUAAAAUCAAUUCUUCAUUUUGGGAUAUGCCACAACAAAGUCAAACAUAUCAACAACAAGAUCCGAUUGGUUCACUUUGUAUUGCUUGUCGUUUUAUUUUCUGCAUGAUUUAUAUGUGUUAAUGUCAUGUUUUUAGAAGAAGAAUUGUAUAUAGCAAUAUUUUUACAAAUAAUUUAUGUACCUUCUAGCAUGAAUCUUUAACACCCCAUCGACAAUCCAUUCUGAAUAGUUGUUGAUCAACUUUGUUAGUUUUUUUGAAACCUCGUCUGAUAUGUUGAACCCUUCAAACUAAUAAUUCUUCCGUUCUUUCAAACUGACAGACUUUACUUUUUCUUCCUCUUUGGAAAUAGUUGAUGGGUUAUCAACUGCGAUACCAUGCUAUUCAAUAGUAUCUUUUACUGAGACAUCCACCUGAAAAGCUAGAAUUGUCAAUGAUAAUCACAGAGAUACAAAAAAAUGGAAAAAGAUAACUCAUCUAUUGGAGGAAAUCAAUAGGUUUUCCUACUGUUUUAAUUUGUCUCAAUAGAUGACCUAUUUAUUGAAACAGAUGAGUUAUCUAUUGGGACAGAUUAAAAUAGGAAGAAGACCUGUAUGAUAAUUUGUUACAGAUAAACCCAUUUUCCGCAACAUAUGACUUAUCCGUUGGAAUAAACUAUAUCAGUAGGAAGUAUUUAUUUAAUUUGUCCAUAUAGAUGACCCAUCGGUUGCAACAGAUAGGUCAUCUGUUGGGAGAAAUUAAAAUAAUAAGAAUACCUGUUUGAUUUUCUUAAACAGAUAAGACAUAUAAUAUAACAAAUAAUGCAUCUGAUGCAACAUAUUAGUCACUUGUUGCAAUAGAUGUCUAUAUCUGUUUGAUAAUUUUCAGUAGAUGUGUUAUCUAUUGAAACAGAUAUGUAGUCUAUUUGUUUGUUGGAACAGUGGAUAUUCAUAUUUUUAGCUCAUGCUUCUCUCCUGUGGCCCUUGUACAUAGCUCAAAAGUGCAAGACAAAGAUAGAGGAGUUGCAAUUUUGCUUUUUUGAUGCUUGAUAAUGCCUUGGAAGUUUCUUUCCUUUUCCCCUUAGCCUUAAUAUCUAAUGGAGUGUAUGGAUAUGAAAUCCUCUUUGACGGAAUGAAACCCCUCUUAGAUGUCAAUUCACUUACAAAAGCAGUUAAUGCAUCAAUAACAUUAAUCACUCUGUCGUAUUUUGCCUUACAGUUUUGUCAUUUGCAUGCAGAGUAUUCGCUAGGAGGGGAAAAAUUUGUAAAACCAGUAUGAUCAUAGUCAUACUGGUUUUUGUUUCAAAAACUCCAAGAGAAGCAUCAUUAGCCCCAACAGCAGCAUCACUAACACUACCACCACCACCAACUCCAUCACCACUAACACCAUUAAUAACAACAAGCUCACCCUCCAAAAGUAUUUUUCUUGUGGUGGCUGUUACUCCAAGCAAUUCCUUUUUUAUUCUAUUAAUGACCUUAGGCUCCGAUAAAGUUUGCACAAUCGUAAAGUAAGAAAAUGACAUCUUCAACUUUAGAUUGGUAGGAACAAGCCAUGGAUGCACAAUCUAAAAUAAAUUAGUACAUCUAUUAGAAUGAUGAUUAAAUCAUUUAAAAAAUUAGUAAUUAAAAGAAAAAUUUAAUUAGAAUUAAACUUACUGUACUGCUUCCUCUGGGGGGUUGAAGAUAUCAAGAAAUUUUGCUUUUUUAUCGGUUUUGGAUGACAACCAUCUCAGGAUUCUUGGACAUUAUGCCAAUAAAUCAAAAGCAUUAUUCAAUAAAAAUAAAUAAAUCAUAAUAAAAGAAAUAUUUACCAUGAAAGCUCAUGAAAAGGCAUAUAAGCUGAUUGUCUUUGGCGUUAACGGAGGCAACAAAUAUUUGACAAUUAUUUUGAAGCUUUCAUAACCCCAAGGAUAGUUGUUAAAUGCCUCCAGAUCCUCAAAGAGCUUUAUUAAACUAAGUGGUAUGUUUUUGUUAACGUCUCUCGCCCAAAGAAUAUUAUGUUCAAACCAAACCAAGCACAAUGAUUAAUUGUGCUUCUUUGAAAAUCUUUUACCUUUCAACUCUUUUAUCAAUUUGUUGUUUUUGAAGCUUGGACCAACAAGAGACAACAAGUCACCAUCACUUGACUUGCAUUUGACUUUUGGUGUGCGGGGUAUUUUUCUUGGGGUUAUAAUAGGUAUAUGAUGAGAAUGAGGAUAGCAUUUUAGUCCAUGAACUAUAGCAAACUCCUUCCAACCAAAACAAACAGGCAUGCCACAGUAAUUUAUCCAUACCUCAUCCAUUAUAUCUGUAUUUUCAUACAUAAAUCUACACUUGAGAAGAUCCUACACCAUGUUUAUUUGGAAAUGAACAUUGUUGUCCUUCGAAAAAUCAAGAUAUUACCCUAAGCAGCUAUUUCUGAAAUAAGCAUCCAAUUUUUGUUCUAAAACUAUUUUUCUAAAGCUAUCAAAAGAUUUUCCCAUGGUUGAAUUUACCACAAAGUAACUAGUUAAAUCUGUGGCACCAUCGAACUGCAUUCUCAUAGGAUAACUAUCAACAGUGAAUGUUUUGGCCAACUCUUCAAUGGAAGGGCUAUUAUCAUUUGGAUCAUCUCAUUUGAAACUUUCCUCUUCCUCAUGAUCAUUUUCUUCUACUUCUAAUUCAGAUAUCGCUUGUACAACAAGGUCAUAGAGUGGUGGAUGUAUCCUAGCAACUUCAUUUAUUCCUUUACUUGGACUUGAUUCGCUUUCUUUUCUUUAUGAGCCAUAUCAUCUAAAAAUGAGAAGAUAAUACAAAAAGAUUAUAAUUGAUUAAUGCCUUGUUAAAAAAAGAAUAAUAGUAAAUCUAACAAGCAUAACAUAGUAAAACAACAGUAAAGAAACAAAUUACUCAUUUGUUGUAGCAGUCGAGUCAUCUGUUACAACAAAUAACUAACCUAUUGUAACAGAUGAGUAAUCUAUUAGAAACAAUAAAAAUGAAUUUUAUACUAUUGUGAUUUCUUCCAAUAGAUCACUCAUCCGUUGAAACAGAUGACUGGUCAUCAUUUAUCUGUUUUAACAGAUGAGUGAUUGUUGUAACUGUUAUCAAAUUAUUUAGAUUUCUUCCAGCUGAUGGGUCAUCCAUUAUAACAGAUGAAUAGACAUGUCAUCUGUUGGAAUAGCUGUUAGGAUUUCAUCCAUCAGAUAGUUUAUCUAUUGUAAUAUAUGGUUCAUCUGAUGCAAUAGAUGGUACAUCUAAUGUAACAAAUGGUACAUCUGUUAUAAUAGAUGGUACAACUAAUGCAACAGAUGGUACAUCUAAUACAACAGAUGGUACAUCUGUUGCAAUAGAUGGUAUAAUUGUUGCAAGAGAUAAUUCAUUUGAUGUAAUAGAUGGUUCAUCUAAUGUAACUGAUGGUUCAUCUGCUGUAAAAAAACAAACUAGUAGCAAGAUUUUGUUUAAUAGAACAACAAUAAUAUCACCAUUUAAUAUCAAUACACUAUUUUUACUAAGAACAACAACCUAUAAACAAUACUCAAUUAACCUAGCAACACAAGAAGAACAUUAACAUUGACCAUAAACACCAACAUUGUUGUUUUGUUUAUACAAACACAAACAACAAAAAAUAAACUUCAAAAAAUACAACAAACACCAACAAAUCAAAUCAAAAGUUCGAGAACAAGAACUACAGUAACAACAAAAAUUUAUAUUUCACUUUGAAAAGAGAAGAGAAGAAAUAUCAUAAAUUAGGAUUUUCUUGAGUCUCUAUUUCAAAUUUAAGCACGGAAUAUUUAACUUUGACUCAAGUUCCUCUUUUAUUCAUAACUAAAAAGACCUAAUUUUUACCUGUGAAAGUCGAAAAGGAACGAUGAAGAACUCGAAGCUGUUGUCACCAGAAAAUGCUGUCACGUUGAUUGAUUGUUGAAAGUAGAAAAGAAACUCAAAAUUAUUUGACGUCGGAGGUUGGAGUCACCGAGAAUUGAAGGGAAAAAUUUAUAGAACUGUUUGUUGGGAAGUUAUAGAGAAACUGUUGGAGAGAGAUGGGAGAGAGAGAUGUUGAUUUAGAGAGGAGAGAGGUGUGAGUUGUUUUAUAUUUUUGAAAAUAUUCGAAAGUUUUAAAAAUAUUAAUUAAGUCCACAAUUAACUUAAUCAAACUUUUUAAUUAUGUUUGACCCUUUAUGUUGGUCAAUGUCAUUAAUGCCUCAUUCAAGACUUAAAAGACACAUUUCCUUCAACUUUCUCUAAUAACCUUGUAAGAUUUCACCCAUUGAAGGAACAUCUACCAAAGUAUUUUUUGAAUAAGAACUUUUAAUUAUUUUAUUUAAUUUAAAUUCUAUCUUAAUUUAUAUAUUAACUUUAUUGACGGGAUCAUACAAUAAUUCAUAGGAUCAAAUAAUUUUAUAUCAUUUAAAUAUUAUACUUUUUUAGAAAAUAAUUAACCAAUAUAUGUUUAAUUGAGAAAAAAUAAUGAAGUUAGUUUAACAUAAGGCAAAACCUAACUUAGAUUGUUAAAAAAUUUAAUUAAAGAACUUCCAAUAAAAUAUAAAGGAGAAGAGUUUUAGAACAUGCAUUUGCUCGAAAAAUUAAAAAGAAAUCUACAAUAUACCUUAAAAAGGCUCUCUCCAAACUUACAAAAACUUUUAUUUCCUUCCCUUCAAUUUGUUUAUCUGAUUUUGACUUAGCAGAAAAUUUUAAAUGUUGUGGUCUUACACUAAAGAUAUAUAGAAAAGAUCAAAAUUAGGUUUAUUCAAAAUCAAAUCGUAAUCGAUAACUCAACUGCAAAAUUAACUUUAGAUUGUUGGUAAUGAGUUAUCAGAUUAAUGGUUGGUGAACAAACUAAAAUUUACAGUUAAUGACUCAUCGGUGCGGGGAGAUAACUCAAUUUUCUCAUAGGAUAAAUCGUUAACCCAUUAACAAUUCUCAUAUUUACCCCUAGAUACAUAAUGUAUCUCUCGUAUAAACUCAAAAAUUAGAACCUCAAUCAGUAUUCUAUUUACUUCUUAGAUUAGGAAAUAAGCAACUUAUUGUGACUUCUAACUAUAAAGUGCAGUUGGCCUCCCUAAAAAAAAUAAAUGAAACCCUAAAUUAAUUCAUAAUUGAAAAGACAAAUUAUUCUUGACAAUACGAAGGACCACAACGAAACUGAAACAACUUCAAUGUGCUCUUCACAAAGUUUAAUAUAACACUGAAAAAUUUCAAACCAUAUCAAAGUAUUGAUUUUAUAGUUGACCUAAUAAUUAAAAAAAAUUUCUACAUAUAUUUUAGUUUUGAAGAAAAUUUUCAUUUGAUUUUGUGUUAUAACUUAUUAAAAAUAUUGUACGACAGAACUCAACAAGUCUAAACAAUUGAUAAAUAGAUGAGUAUUAUAUACAAAAAACUUAGUCAGUGAAGAAAUGGAGGACAUAUUGAUAACCUCUCAAUAUUUCAUCGACACUUAGAUUUAUUCAAUACACCAUCCAAUAAUUGUCCGUUCAUUGCUAAUUAAUUUGAUACUAAACUAGCCGUUAUCUUAUCAGUUGGCUUGCGAAUUAUUACAUUUAAAAAUUAAUAACUAAUAAGCCGAACCGCUAAGCAUAAUUAUCUGUCCGAUUUGCCGAUAAGAAAUCUAACCAAAUACCUUUUAAUCUUAUGAUCUUAAAUGCUAUGUGAAAAGUCAAAAUUAAGGGUUUCCACGUAAGAAAAACGAUACUCUUUGAAACGAACUAAAAAAGAAAAUAUAACAAAAAAAUUGAAAUUGAUAUAGAAUUUAAAAUUUUAAAAAUUGUUAAACUAUCUUUAACUAAUAUAAUGUGAUAAAAACAAACAAAAAAUAAGAUUAACAAAAAAGAGAAAAAAAAUUACAAAUGUAAAUGUAAAUAUAGCUUGGGUCUGGGCCUAGCACAGGUCAAAUGACUCUAGUUUGUUGAUACUCCAUUCAUUUCGUAUUACUUGACCUUUGUUGAUUUCACAUACUCGUUAAUAAAAUUUUAAUUAUAGGUGUAAUUUUACAAAUCUAACCUUAUUAAUGAUAUUUUAAAAUUCUAAAUUUGACUACUAUUACUUUAUUAGUUACUCCCUCCGUCCAACAAUACUGUUCAUUAUUGAUUUGGCACAUAGGUUAAGAAAUAAUAAACAAUAGAGGUAGUUUUACUAUAUUACCCUUUGAAUAUACUAAUUUAAUUCUUUAGAAAAUAUUGAGUGAUAAAUAGUAUUUCCUCCGUUCAAAUUUAUAUGCGUUAUUUUGACUUGACAUGGAGUUUAAGAAAGAAAGAAAGAAAGACUUUCGAAAUUUGUAGACUACAAUAAGUGAUAGAUGUUUCUUUGACUAUAAAUUAUUUCAUUAAGAAUAAAAUGAGUAUAUAAAUUCAAAUUGUUACUAAAUAUAGAAAUGUAUCAUUAUUUUUGGGUCUGACUAAAAAGGAAGGUGAGUCUUAUAAAUUGGGACAGAGGAAGUAUUUAAUAGCAAGUGUAAGGUAGAUAGAAAAAGAUAAAAUAUUCAUUGAUUUUUCAAUCUGGACAAGUAUGAUUGAACAUCUGUAUUUAAUAGAGUGGACAAGUAUUGUUGACAUAGAAAACAUUUAAGACAAACUUUUCUUGAUUUCAUAAAUUGAACAAGUAAACUAAAAUAACUAUAUUUAGGAAAAAGAUCAAGUAAAACAAAAUGGAUGGAGUAUUUUAAGAGUGAUAACUGGACAAUUCAAAAAAAAAAGUCUAUUUUUAAAAUAGUAGACAAAUAAAAAUAAAUGCAGGGAGUACUUUCAUCCUUCCGUUAUAAUUGGUCUUUGUUGAUUUUUAAUAUUUCCCCUAAAGAGUUACUCUCAACCAUUUUAUUUAUCACAUUUUUUACUUACACAUCUUUUAAGAAAUUAUGUAUUGUAAUUAUCAUACUUUAUUUAUCUCUCAAAUCAUUUAAAUGUUAGUCCUCCAAUUAAUAUUCAUUCUUUAAUCUUUCUUCGAUAAAUAGAAAGAAGGUUAAUCUAAGCAAUCAGUAUAUUGGAUAUGUGUGUUCUUCAUUUAGGUUUUCUAUGUUAAUUAGUCAAUGUUUAAAAAGGAGAGUUCGGAGCACUAAAGCUUUCGUUAUGUACAGAGGCCGAGAAAAAGCCCAAUCACAAGGGCAUAUCGUAUGCAGUCUUACCUUACAUUUCUGCAGGGGUUUAUGUUAAUGACUCAUUGUUUAUUAUUUUAAAAAUAAUUACUACUAAGAUCAGAAUGAGAAGAAUAUACUCCAUCCUUUUCAUUUUACUUGACUCCUGUACAGAAAAUAGAAGUUUCAAAUUACUUAUCCAUUUUUCGAAAAUCUAGAUAGCGUUAUUAGUUCUUUUCCAUACUACUCUUUGUAUUAAAUAACUAAAUAAAAUAGUAUUUUUUUUGUUCAAUUUUACUUUUCACAUUUUGGCUUGAUACGCCACUAAGAAAAUGACAUUGUUAAUUUAUCAUUUUACCUUUAUUAAUUGAUAUUUAAUAUUGAGUAUUGAAAAAUGAUUUGAAGAAUAAGUAAUUAAUGCUAAGGUAAAAUAUGAAUUUUUUUAUUUUUUCUUGAUAUGCCAAAAGAGCAAGUAAAAAUAAAAAUUUAUUUUAGAAAUAAGUAACAAGUAAAAAUAAAUGGAAGGAGUAGUAGUGAAAUUUAGAAUUUUAAAAUAAAACUAGUCUAGUAAGAUACACAUCUAACUAAAGAUUUCUUUAGGGGUGUGCCAAAUAUCAUCAAUAAGUAGAGCCGUCAACAUGGGCCAGACCUGUUGGGUUGGCCAAGCCCAUCCCAUAAAUUGUAAGGGUUGGGCUACGAUUUUUGCAGGCCGUUUAAGAAUGGAGCUUUUUAGCCUGACCCAUAUAAGCCUGUUGGCCCUUAGGUCUUGAGCAACAUGGGUUGAGCUAGCCCGUGGGUCAAAUAAAAAAUAAUUAAAAAAUAGAAUAGAGUACUAUAAAUAAAAAAAAGAGUCCAAACUCAAAGCCUAUUUGAAUCAUCAUAGAUAUUUAACUAUUAAAUAUGGUUAUAAAAUAUAUAAAUAAUUAAAAUAUAAAAUACUAAAUCUUUUAAGGAAUUAAAUAUGUUUGAUGAAGAUGAUGUGGUGAUGUAGAACACGCCAUAAGUGUCAUGUGAGUUUUUUUAAUGAGUUUAUUUUCACUUUUAAUGGACUAAAAAUAUUGACAUUUCUUUGUGUUUUAUUAUGAUCAAUUAAAACAAAAUUAUGUUAAUAUUGCUAUUUAGCUAGUUAUAUUAUUACUCAUUAGCAGUUUUGUUUGUUUUUCAACAUCUCUAUUUGGUUUGAAUUUGGUAUUAAAAGUUAUUUAAUUUCAUAGAUCAUUAGUUUUUUUCUGUAAAUUUGAGACUUGAUUAACAAGUAGUAACUUCAUAUAAUAUUAUAUUAUAAAUAUUUAUGUAAUUAAUAAUUUAAUAUUUAAAUUAAGAUUAUAAAAAUAAUAUAUUUUAAAAAGUGAGUAGGCCCAUUGAUACAAGUAUGAUCAUGACUAUGAACACUUUUUAAGCAUUUUUGAAGACCACCUAAAGAGUGCACAAGCCUAAGUGUGAAGGAGGCCCAAAACCAAUUGUGAAGUGCACUCCAUGGGGCGGCUUUGGAGCCUUUUAAUGGAAGAGCUCUUUUGUCUUUUGUCCACUACUUGUAUUGUAAUAUAAAUAUAACAUUGUAGGGUUUUAUGUCUUUAGUUUAUUAUUGAUAUUGUAAGAACACUCCUCUUAGAGAGAGAGAGAGACUCCAACCAAAACUAGGGCCUAACACAAAGGUGGAAUCGUUUGUGUGUGGUGCAUUACUUCAUACGUUGGUGCUUGAGAGGUGGACGCCCCUCUUGUGUCAUUGUAAGAGUUAGGUGCGUGUUGUGUGUGGUUUUAAGGGUCCAAGAGUGGAAUAGGAUCUUAGGUUCCUAAGAUUACAACUUCGUUGUGUCUAACUAUCUCUCUUUGUUUCUUGUUUUCAGUUUCGAUUUUCCAUGUUUUGUUGUUGAACCUGUAGGUUCUUGUUGGUGUAACCUUAUUGUUCUCCAUUAGAUUGUGUUAAUAUAGAUUGUUGGUUGGAUGGCUUCAUUUGCAAAACACUUGUUAUUCUCCCUAUUCUUGUUAUAACUAGUGAAUCCGAGAGUGGUCACCUAGAUAGUCCACGGUUUCUCUUCUUGUGGACUAUUUUUGGUGUUUGUUUUGUUGUGUUAUUUGUCAUCCUUGUAUCUUUUGGUAUCAAAGACAUCUUUGAGUUUGUUCUAACAAGAUAAAUCUUGGGUUUAAGAGUUGAAAAUAUAAAAAAAAGUGCUAAAUCUGAAAAUUCCAGAAAAAAAGAGAAAUCUGUCCAUCUUGUUCUUGGCCGAGAAAAUUGUGUUGUCUUGUUGUGUUGGCCGAGAUUGGUGUUUGUAUGUUUAGAUCUUAUGUGUUCUUUUGUUUGUAUAGUGUGUUUCUUGUGUUGAUAUCUCUUUCACUAGCACAAAGAGUGUCAAAAUCUAAAGCCGAACUUAAUAUCUUGACCAUAUUAAAGUGAACUUGGAGUUAGCCGAGCCUUGAAGACGUUGUUCUAGGAUGUAUAGUGUGUUGUUGACGUUGGGAUGAACCUUGUUGUUGUGUUGUUGUUGAGUUCUUGAAGGUUGUUGUGGUGUUCAUAUUGUUCUUCAUCUAUUCUUGCAAGUUAAGACAACCAAAAGACUAAAAUAGAUCCAAACAGUUGUAAGACAAAGGUUGUAAAGUUGUUAUGAGAAGACUUGCACACAUCACUUUCUAGACUUGACAACCACUUUUCCUUAAAUCAAGGGCCUUAUUUUGUGGGACUAGUGAAGUUAAAUCUCACCCUUUUGAGUUUGAAAAGUUGACAAGGAGUACAAGACUUUAUUUUUCCUCCAAUAUUAAGUCAUCCAUUCCAAAAGGUGUAUAAGGACUAAAAACUUCAAGUUUUUGAAAAUUUGUGAGGGCCGUGACCAAUUAAGGGGUGCCACAUCACCAAAAUCACUGGUCACACAACCAUUUUAAGCUCAAAAUUAGAUCUUCUAGUUUUGUUUUGUUGUUUCUCUUGUUGAUUCCAUUACUAACUUACGUGUUAACACUAAAUUGUAAGUUAGUUUUGUAGCCGUUCUUCAUGUUUACGAUCCUUCGUGUGUCCUUUUGUUAUUGUUUCCUUGAGUUGUUGUAGAUUUUUGGUUCUCCUCUCAAGCAUGGAAUACAAUCAAACUUGCCACACUCUUGUGAUUGAGUGAAGAAACCGAGAGGCAUAGAACUAAAGAAAGAGGGUGAUGACCUUUCUUUUACAACUAACUCGUUUAUUAUUUUGUAGGUGUUUUUCUUAGGUACAUUGCAAUGGAUGGAACGACCCCCCAAACUGUGGGCAACAAUGAUACCAAUAUCCUCAUGGCUUCUAUUGAGGGCCUCAACUGCACUUUAGAAAGAAUGCAAGUGAGUCUUGGGAAGUUAGAAACGAAUGUGUCUGCGGUGAAGGGGGAUGUAACAUCAUUGAAUGGGGAUGUAUCUAUUAUGAGUGGGAGAUUGGAACAAGUGGAAAGCCAAAGGAGCCGCCCCUCUAUUCCUCAGUACUAUCAUGUGUGCUCGAGUGGACAUGAUCAAAACAAUUUCCCUACCAUCUCCCCCGAAAUGUUACACCAAAUGAUCAAUCUACUGAGACAACUACCAAAUUCUUCCAAAGCCGAGAGUUUGAUAGACCAACCUACCCUCCACUUCACCAAGUCCAACAAGAAGAAUUUGGAACCCAAAUAUCAACACCAAACCCGAGCUCUCCACUUAACCAAAGGCCUCACAUUCCAAUUCAAGAUCCAUUAGACCAAAGACCUUACUUUCCACCCAAUCCAAACCACCUAACCCGAACCAACCAAACAGUUUGGAAGGAUACAGUGAGGAAGAAUGACAUGAAGGGUAUGGAGUCUAUGGUAAUAUUUACUUAAGGAAAGAAAGAAUGGGGGGUAGACCUGGGGAGCUACGCCGAGAGGUGAGGGAAGGCUACCAAAAUUGAGACUUGGGCAUAAACUCCAUCAAAGUUAGUCUCCCAAUCUUCAAGGGUGAGAAUGAUCCUGAAGCGUAUCUUUCUUGGGAGUCAUCGUGUGACAAGAUAUUCCAACUCAAUGACCUCAUCGAGAAAAAGAAGAGUUGCUAUGCGAUAGCUCAUUUUGAGGGGUAUGCUAAUACGUGGUGGGAGUAUGUUAAAUGGUUUGGGAAUGAGAUGAUCGGAGGAAAACCUCCUCUUUGGUUUUGGUUGAAGAACCUUAUGCGGCAAAGGUACUUGCCCGAGACUUAUAGGCAUGAGCUCCUUACCAAAUUGUACAAUUUGAGGCAAAGGAUAAAGAGUGUCAUGGCUUACUACGAUAAGUUUCAACAAUUAAUGUUGAAAAUUGACCAUCAGGGAGAGAAAGUAAGUCAUUACAUUGUGUGCUUUAAGGUUAGUUUAAAUAAGGACAUCUCCACUCACAUGACGCUUCACAAAUUCGACACCAUAGAGGGAAUCUUCUAAGCGACUUUAGAGGUGGAGAGGGAGCUCAAAGAGAACUCAUUCGUGGCUGCCCAACCCGAGAUCCCCAAGGUAGUCCAAAAAUAGCCUCCAAUGUAUGAAACUAAAUUUAAUUCUACUUUCAAUUCCAAGGGGUUUCAAUGCUUCAAGUAUCAAGGGUGGGGGCACAAUUCUAGUGAGUGUCCAAACUGGAGGAAUGUGAUCCUAAAGGAGGGGAAGUUAUACUACCUAGGAGAAGAGGUGGUCAUUGAAUUGGUUAAGGUUGAUGGAAAGCUUCAAUAUGGAGAGAACGAAGAGGUUGAAAUUUAAGUUGAGGAGAAAGUAGAAUAUACGUGGCCUUGUGAAGGGCCGUGUGAGAUACCUCUCUAAAAGAGGUGAGGUCAUGAAUUUUUGGGAAAAUUCCUCUCAAGAUGGAGAGGACGAUACAAGUAUGAUCCUGACCAUGGAAACUUUUUGAGCAUUUUUAAAGACCACCUAAAGAGUGCAUAAGCCCAAGUAUGAAGGAGGCCCAAAACCCAUUUUGAAGUGCACUGGGCGGCUUUGGAGCCUUUUAAUGGAAGGGCUCUUUUGUCUUUUGUCCAUUACUUUUAUUGUAAUAUAAAUAUAACAUUGUAGGGUUUUAUGUCUUUAGUUUAUGCUUGAUAUUGUAAUAACACUCUUAUAGAGACAGAGACUCCAACCAAAACUAGGGCCUAACACAAAUGUAGAAUCGUUUGUGUGUGGUCCAUUGCUUGAUACAUUGGUGUUUGAGAGGUGAACGCCCCUCUUGUGUCAUUGUAAGAUUUAGGUGCAUGUUGUAUGUGGUGUUAAGGGUCCAAGAUUGGAAUAGGCUCUUGGGUUCCUAAGAUUACAACUUUAUUGUGUUUAACUAUCUAUCCUUAUUUCUUGUUUUUCAGUUUUGGUUUUCGUGUUUUGUUGUUGAACCUGUAGGUUCUUGUUGGUGUAACCUUGUUGUUCUUCACUAUAUUGUGUUAAUAUAGUUUGUUGUUUUGUUGGCUUCAUGUGUAAAACACUUGUUAUUCUCCCUAUUCUUGUUAUAAAUAGCGAAUCCGAGAGUGGUCACCUAGAUAAUCCACUGUUUCUCUUCUUGUGGACUAUUUUUGGUGUUUGUUUUGUUGUGUUCUUGGUCAUCCUUGUAUCACUCGUGAAGGCCCGUAACCCACAGUGUGAUGGAUUGGGCUUGCUAUUUUCUGGCCCGUCAUGUUGAUGGGCCAGCUCAGCCUGACCCGUCAAAUUUCAAAGCCCAUGUGGGCUAGCCCAGAUGGGCUGGGACAACCCGUAUUGACAGCACUACUAAUAAAGUUAAUUUAGUAAAAUAUACCUCUAAUUAAAGAUUUUUUGAGGGUUAUCUCAAGUCAAUAGGGGCCAAGUAAUAUGAAGUAGAGGGAGUACUCAAUUAUAUCUUGAUUUUCUAAAUAGACAACUUUUUUGUACUAUUUAUUUUUUUGUAAGGAUGAUACAUAAAGUUGUCUGUAGGGAAUAAUAUUUUUAGGUUUUACAUUUUUGUUCAAAAUAUAUAAUUUUUCAAAUAAUAAAAAAUAUAAAUUAUUUCUUUUCAGAUUUACUCUUACUUAACUAAGUAAACUUUUACAUAACCAAAACGCAACAUUAAAUUGGUAUUAUCUCAUUAAGGGUAAUUUAAUAAAGAAACUUCUUACUUUAUAUAGGAGGUAGUGAUUUAUUGAGGGGUGUGCCUAAACUAACUUUUUUUUUAUAUAAUAUGGUUCGGAAGAAGUAUUUAUUAGGAUUUUUUUUUAAUUAAAUUAUCCUUUUUUUUCACCCCAAAACUUUGGCCUAAGGUACGACUAAUUCAACAUCGACAAAUCUAUUUGAACUGGGAGAAUGAGAUAGUAUUUAACUCUAAUGACAAAGAAAUCAAGUGUUCUUGAGUUUUAAAUAAAUAAUGAAGUAAUUUAAAAUGCGGCAUCGAUGACAAGAAAUAAUAUUUCCAUGCACCAAAAAGGCUACAAUCUAACACCAUAUCUUAUGGUCUUGACAAUGAGCAUAGGAGGUAUAUUUGGAGUAAUAUUUGAGCUAAGGACAUAGCUCUAACAAAAAAUUGAAUUGGAAGUUUCUUUACGAAUUAGGUUUGUGAAUGAACUUGCACAAGGUCCAACUUCAAAUAAGUAUAACAUGCAACAUAUAAAUAAUUAAGUGUUGAAUUACCUAUCAAAUUACAGGACUUUGAAUCUAGGUUCCAACACAAUAAAUCAUUCAUCAUUUCAAGCACCGAACAAAAAAUUAUGUACAUUUUACCAAAACGCAGCCAUAAUGGCUUGGCGCUAUGCGGUCCAUGACAAUGUUUCCCUUGAAUCAUACUAUUCUUUCACUAAAAGGCUAUGAGAAAUUCCGACGAGAACGUUUGAGGUAACAGUUUUCUUCCUAUAAUGAUUCUUAGAAGCUUUCAUGUCAUAACUUCUCAUCUUGUAGUUCCAUGAGUAUGUUCAUGUGUAUGUUUUUGCUCAUGUACUCCAUAUUCGAAUUUUAAUCCUCUGUAUGAUUUAGUUAAGCUUAUGAAAAUAUUUAUUUUUGCUUUCAGCCUUAAUCUUCUUUCAAGGAUAGAUGAUCCCAAGUGGGAGAUAUUGCAAUACCUAAGAUUUUUAGCCUACGAAUAUUCAACACUUAACACAAAAAUCAAGUUUUGAACUUGAGUUCUCAGGUUCCUACGGAUGGAUUCACGAGUCAUAAACUGCGUUCAUGAGUCAUUAACCAAGUCCACAAUUUUUGAAACCUCUCAUGAAAACCUAGUUUUCUGUCAUGAAACCCCUUUGAAAAUUACCAGGGUUCUACGAACCUGAUCCAUGAUUCAUGGGAUAGACCACGAUCCAUGAACCAAGUCGUGAACCUAGUCCUGAACCCCUUGAAAAUUCACCAGGGUUCUGUGAACCUAGUUCACAAAUCGUGGAAUGGACCAUGAUCUGUGGAUCAAGUUGUGAACCUUGUGUUGGGUUCAAGAUCAAAGUGUGAAUGGAAAAUGGAGGGAACCAAGUGGAGGAAAAAAUUGAGUUAACACUCAAAAAUGGAAAGUGUACUCAAAAAAUGAAAAGUCUACUAAUUCUCCCACAUUGGUGGGAGAAGGAAAUUUUCAAGUGUUUAUAUUAAGGAACACAUACUCCACAUCAUAAGUGAGGCAAGAGUCAAGAGUCAAGAGGUUCUUUGUACUCUCGUUGUCGCUCGCUCGGCUUCGAUGAGAACUAUCUUUUUGUUCAAAAUUUAUUUGAACAGUCCGAAAAACCAAAGUGAACCUUCAUUAACGUGCAUGCAUGCAGUGCAAAAACAACUUCAGAAUGCAAAAUGCUGCUUUGAAAGGGAUGCAAUCCUUCGACAAAAUGAUACACUGAUUCGGGAAAGGUGAUGUCUGUUUGGAUGGUUGUGACUAUCCAGGAAAAGACACAUUGAUUCGAUGAAUAGGCAUGACUGUUCAGAAAGGAUACACCUUUCCAGUGGACCAUUGCCACCUUUCGAAAGGGGCACCUAAUGGCUAUAUUAACCUGCAUUUUCCCAUAAGUUUAGAUACGAAUUUUUUUUGCAUUGAAACACUUCUUGCUUUCUGAAAUACUUUGUGUGAUCAUCUAAUCAUUGAGUGAGUUCGAAGAGAAUUCGAUUGUUUGAGGUACCACUACAGUCAGAUUGUUAGGCUAUUUUAUCCUGGGAGAAAAAUUUUGCAACCUCAGGUACUUGAGGGGAAUUAUUUCCUUAAGGACACUCCGUGAAUUCGGAGGACUUGGCCUUUUUCUGUUCAUCUAAUUUUUUGAGAAAAACACACUUCUUUGAAAGACCUUUUUUAUCUUGUGUGGAGGGUGUUACAUAACUUUAUAAGUGUUCUUGUUUUAUACUUGAACUUGUGUUGAAAUUGUGGUUGUCAAAAUACAGAUUUUUAUGUAACCGUAGAACAAACCUGUAAAACAACACCUUGGCUAGAGGUCUCCAAGUUUUUUUUAGCACCAAAACAAAUAGAAUCCCAAUUUGUGGUAGGGCCAACAUGACCGCAUACACAUCCAUGGAAAUAAUCCAAUAGAAAUGAAAUUUCUAUCCAAGUCGGCAAACCAGACCAUGAUUUGUGAAAUUAGUUCACGACCCAUGAAACAUGGUUCCUGAAAUUUUCAGUUUGUCUCAUUAAGGGUAAAUUAAUCUUUUGCUUAUUUNNNNNNNNNNNNNNNNNNNNNNNNNNNNNNNNNNNNNNNNNNNNNNNNNNNNNNNNNNNNNNNNNNNNNNNNNNNNNNNNNNNNNNNNNNNNNNNNNNNNNNNNNNNNNNNNNNNNNNNNNNNNNNNNNNNNNNNNNNNNNNNNNNNNNNNNNNNNNNNNNNNNNNNNNNNNNNNNNNNNNNNCUCUUUCCCACAAUAUUUUGGUCAUCAAAUACCUAUAUAUAUACGUACAUACAUACAUACAUACAUACAUACAUAUAUAUAUAUAUUAGAACUUUAAAUACUCAAGAUCAAGUCUAUAACAAGUUCAUAAUAAGUCUAACCAAGAUCAAACAAGUUAGUUUUCCAAAUCAAGAAAAUCAUUCAAGUUCGUUCAUCAAGUAAUUGUCCUCACUAGAGGCAGACCCACAUGUAUAAGUAGGGGUGCACGUGCACCCAUUAGCACCAAUUUCUUGUAUUAUAGUUUUCACUGUUAAGGAUUGAUUAUCGGGCCAAAAGUUUAGGUUAACAACCUCGUAUGACAGUUUCGGCAGUACCAUCAGCUCCGAAACAUUGAUUUUAGGCUGGAGGACCAUCAGCUCCGAAACAUUGAUUUUAGGCUGGAGGACCCUUGGUUUGGGUCCCAAGGCUUCCAAAACUCAUUUUGGGAUAUUAGGUGAAUGGCUAUUAGGUGUGGGACCUAUUUUUCAUCAAAAUGAUCCUAGAUAGAAAUUUUGAUGGCGCCGUUGAGUCUGAAACAUCAAAUUUUUAUAGGAUAGAAUAGUUUAUCUGCAUUUAUGAGAUUUUGGAUGAUUCCUAAGGGUUCGAUAAAAACUUGGCAAAAGCCAAGUUUCAGCUGGUGCAGCUGUUUAAGCGCACCUUUUGUUGCUUAAGUGGUGGCUGCUUACCAUGUCGAGUCCCCGCCUAGCUGCUUUAGCAGAGAUCAUACCACUUCAGCGGAUAUCGCUUAAGUGACCAUAUGAUACUUAAGAGAUCCGUCUGGGCAUGAGUAGCUUAAGAGACCAUAUGGAACUUAAUUGGAAAUUGCUUAAUGUAAGGAUCCAAAAUCACCUCCUAGGACGUCACACGGUGCUUAGGGCUACAAGUGGCCCCAAGCUAACCCUUUGAGCCUAUCACUUCUCAUAAUACUCAUUAAAGAAGGAAUAUAGAAAAAAUUGGCACUUUCAUAUCAAAUGAAAAGAAAUAUGAACAUAAUACUCGGUCCAAACGACCACAAUACUGGAAAUCUCAACACAACCAUAGUCUGAUAACUAGUUUGAUAAAGCUUCUACUACUCUAUGGACUCGACAGUCGUUGAGACAGGUCCCCACUUACUCAAACUGAACUAAAAGUAAUAACAUAAUUUGUCAGGAAUAAAUACCCCCAGGACUCGAUAACAUAAAAGUAAAACAUAACCAUUCUUGAAUAAUCCAUACCAUGGACAUUCAUUCACCAUCACAAUUACUAAAGCGUCUCUUUAAACAUUUAGAAAUCAUAAACAUGUGAUAGUAUAGGGUGACAUGCUAUUGGCUCAUACUCCAUUUAACAAGGUCUUGCAUCAAACACUUAGCAUAUGUUAAAGAACACAUAAUAGGGGAAUUUCAUGCUAACAUGUUACAAUUCAUUCACUAAGGCUUUUCAACAAACACUUGGCAGGAAUAAGCUUGCACAUAAUUGGGGAUUUCUAGUCGAUAUGCUAUAAUGGUCCUAAUUUCUUGACAUACGUAUUUUAUCAAACAUUGGGGAGCAUAAUUUGCUUAUUCAACAAUUUCUACACUUAGUUGACAUAAGCACAUCACUUAACAAGCAACUUGAAGAGGGUUUAUCAUGAACAUCACAUGAAUAUCACAUACUAGGGCCAAAGCUUGAAACCAUGUAAACAAAAUAUGAAUAAAAACUCAAUAAUAGAAUGAACUUCAAUUUAAAUUCACAUGAAUCAUGAAAACUCAUAAACAUAAGAAUCUUUGAAUUUAGAAAAGAAUUCUUAAGCUUCUUGGAUGAAAGGGCCCAAGAGUCAACAUCUGCAUACCUUAGGAAACUCUUUCUUGAAGGCUCUUGGAGAGAUUCUUGAUUUUUCUUGAUUUUUAUUGAAUAAGGGUUUUGAUCUUAUUCUAGGGUUUUUGAUCUUGAAAGAAAUCCUAAUUUAAUGUUAUGGAUGAGAAAUGAAGCCCUCAACUUCGUUCAAGAUAUAUAUAUAUAUAAGUGUAAAAAGGGUAGAAAAAGACAAAAAAGAUCUUUUUUAAAAUGACUUAAAAAUACUGAACGGGAUUUAUGGUGGUCGGAGUGACGGUCCGUCGCUAGUCUGACGGCCCAUUGGAUCGACCGUCGCACGUUAGUCAGAAAAAGGCCAUACUGCCUCAGUUGCAACGGUCUUAGCGAUGGUCCAUCACUAGCUUGACGGUUCAUCGUCUUGGCCAUCACACUUUGGCUAGAAGAGAGAGUCACUGCCUUGGUUACGACGGUUUGGGCGAUGAUUCAUCGCAAGCUCGAAGGUCCAUCAAUUUUUCCUUCGCACCUGGGCGAUUCCGACAGCUCUUAGUAAAACAACCAUAACUUCCUUAUCCAAUGCCAGAUUUUGAUGAAAUUGGUAUCGAUAGAAAGCUUAUUCAAUUAUCGAUAUUAGGAAAAUUAUAUACGGUUUAAAAUAUUUCUUACUUGGGAAGUCACUUCUCAAUAUUUUAGGGUUGGAUUUACGCUUCACUUGACACGCUCUAAGGCUUAGACUACGAGAGAAUUUUGUGGGGUCUUACACCAUUGGUGAAGGGCUUAUUUUGUUUUCAGGACGAUUGGAUCUCAUCCCUUGACAUGGACUCAGUUCUCCAAGUUUUUCUUAGAGAAGUUUAUGCCUUACAGCCUUAAAGAUCUUAUGAGAGUUCUGUUCUCAAGAUUAGAGUAGGGUUCAAUGAUCGUUCUAGAGUAUGAUGCAUGAUCUCAUGAGUUAGUGAGACAUGUUACUAUUAAUUUAUUGAUCAAGUAUGAAUGAAUUCAAUAUUUUGUUAAAGAAAUGAGACUUUCCCUUUGCAUGGCUACUCAAAGUUUGGUUGUCACUAGAUGGUCUUUUAUUGAGGUCUUUGAUUAUGCUUAGACCUUAGAGGAGAUGCAUCAUAAGGUUCAAGGGGCAUUGAUAAGAGACUGUGUUGCUCCGAUAGUUUUAGUGGUUGCCAAAGUGGCUUAUAGUCUAGAGGUAGAGGUUCUCAGGGUGUGUACCCUUCAUGUCAGUCUUAUUAACAUCAAGGUCAGUCUAGUAGGCCUAUUUAUACCGUAAUUUUGAUUAGGAAUAGGGGUCAACCUAAUCUUAGUGAUUAUGUUGGCUAGAUUCAUCGUCAACCUUAUGGUUUUUUUAGUAGAUUAGGCUAUUUUAGGUCAACCCAGAUCUUCUGGUCAGAGUGCAGCACCAGAGUCUUUUUAUGAGCAUGGGGCCUUCAAUCAUUAUUCUAGAGAGUGUCCUCGAUGUGGAACAGUUGUUUUAACACCUCGAAUCUAGUACUCGGAAUACUAUAAGGUGCUCAUGACCCCGAAGGACCACAAGAUAAUCCAUGACUAAUAUCUGUGCCUAUACACUGCAUGAUAUACUAUAUAAAUACAUAAACAUGAACUGAAAGGCCAUAAGAUUCAAAUAUGUAACAUCACUAAUAAAUCAUAAUAUAUGGAUGGGGUAUGAAAUACCCAAAUCACUAAAAUAACUGUCUGAACACACUAGUCUGAAAAGCCUCUAACUGAAUGAACUAUCUGAAUAAGGAGUUGAUGGGAAAUGGUCCCCAAAUAACUCUAACUAAUAAAUUAAUUAAUGAGAUAAUAAAGACAUAAUCAUGUCCUCGAAGAAUGAGGACUCACUGCUAACUAACUGCUGAUAUAUGGAAUCUACUGAUGCUCUGGAGCUCGUGCUUUGAAACCUAUGGCAUAAAACACCAUAGCAUAAAUACGUCAGUGCUUUGAAUAUAUUGGUAUGCAUGUGAGGUAGGCUAAAUGCAUGGGGUUCAUAUGCAUGAACGAUACUGGCUAACUGACUAAUAUGAACGUGAGAAUACCUGCAUGAACACAUAGUAAUUAUAAUUGAGAUCAUGAUAACAUGAGUUUACUGAUAACUAACAUAACUGAUAACUGAGUUUUGAUGACUGAUAUAACUGAUAACAUGAGUGACUGUAUCUGACAGUCCUAAAUCUGAUGAAACUAGCUGCAUUUUGUAUUGUUCUGAGUUGGCUGUAUCUGAUAGUCCUAAAUUCUGUAGAACUAUCUAAGUUCUAAUACUGAGACUGAAUGACUGUAUUUGAUAGUCCUAAAUUCUGUAACUUAAAUUAUGGUAAGUAGUUAUCUAACCGACAUGCCCCUAAUACACCAUUAUGGCUGAGUUGGGGUUCAAUCAGUAACCUUAAUUGGAAGGGUGUCAAUACUGUGCCACUGGUAAGGACAAUCUAGACAAUUUAUGAGUAACCCUCAUAUAACAGGUAACUCUAGUGAGAACAGUGAGAACCCUCAUAUAACAGGUUAAGCCACCUCAUUUACCCUCAUAUAGCAAGCUAUGAUGUCUCAACCUACGCUGGCUACAUAGUUCUAGAACGCAAGGAUUGCUUCUAAGAAUCACACCUUUAUAUAACAGGUGAUUUCCCAUCCUUGGGUUCACUCGGUGCUAAUUUCUACUCCCAUCUUAAUAGACACUGAUGAUGGAUUACUGGACUGAACUGGAUUGAAUUAACUGAAUUUCGUUGAAUGAUGAAAUAGUACUGAGAUUAUUGAAUUACUGAGAUUUCCUGAGUCACAUGACUGACUGAGUUCAAUAGAUCAUGGCUUGACUGAGGAUAUCAUGAAACAUGUCACUGACUCUAGGAACACAACUAUAUUUUUCGGGUACAAGUACCCCCAGGACUCGAUGGAAGAAAACUGACAAGGCAUGACAUUCUUGAAUGCAUGACCAAUCAUAAACAAUCCAUAAUACAAUAAUUGGAAAUAUUUCAUGGGCAUUUGAUUACCAUAGCUUUGUAAGUGAAUAAGAUAUCAUAUAUACAUAGAAUAAUUUCAUAAGGUCAACUCAUGAGCAAUCCAACAAACAAAUUCCAAUACAUAAGAACAACAUGGAAGUCAUUUUGUAUCAUAAUUUAGCUAUAGUGCAAAAUUUCUAUCUUCCUAGGCAUUUUAUCAAACACCUUGCAUGCACCCUUAGGGCAUAGGCCUAAUCAUCAAAUUGACACAUUAUAAAUAACUCAUUUAAUGGAUUUCACUCACUUGCUAAUGUAGUUUCAUGAAAACACAUAAAUAUUCCAACUUGGGAAUAAUAUAACAAGAUAAACAUGGUUACAAUUGACCCACAACAUAAAUAUCAUGAUUUGUAAUUUAAAAUAAGGUUCUUGAGCUUUAUGGAUGAAAGGAAUCCAUAAAUCAACACAACGGAUACCUUAGUUCUUAGUUUUGUGAAGAUUGACGGAGAGACUUUCUUGAAAUUAAAUUCCUAAUUGAAACCCUAGCUUGUUCUUGAGAGAAAAUUGAGAUAAACUAGUUUAUUUUGGGUUUUAAAUAGCUGAACCUCGUGUUAAAGGGCUUAAAUAGGGGUGGAAAAUUGACCCAUAUAACUCUAGAUGCGUCUUUUAGAUUUGUGAAAAUUUCUCGAACUGGACCCCUAGCGAGACACGGCGCUAUCGCGCUGUGUUACUGGAAUUUCACAAUUGGGAAAUAGAGGAAUGGUGCAACGCGGAGCCAUCACAUUGCCACUUUAUUUUCGACCUUGAAGUUUUACGGAACGUGGGAAAAAUUGCACUGAGACACUGGAGAAAGGACAAUUUCCAUUUUAGCUUGUGGCGCGGUGCGCCACUGACCAAUAUACUGCUGUUUUAUGACAAUAAACUGAAAUAGUCAGAACUUUUUACCCAUUUAUCAAAUUAGAGCGAAUCUUAUAUUGAUGGAAAUCUUAUUGAAUUUCCCACAUGGGGAAAAUCUAAAAACAUAAACAUCAUUCAAUUUAGAAGAUAAUACUAGACUUUCUUGGGACGAAAUUAGUUAGAAAACUUUGGGGUAUUAUAAUAUCUCCCCUUUGGGAAUAUUCAUCCUUGAAUGAGACUAACUGAGAUGGGAGAAAUGAUAGGCUGAAGUACAUACUAACCAUAAAAAAAUGAAGCAUGACUGACAUGUCUGAGAUUUAUACUGAGCAUGCAUAUCUGAUGCAUGAUUUCAUGACUUCACUCACUCAUGAACACAGGACUGAGAUUUUUGAUAACUGAGUUUCUUACUAGGAGAAUGUAUGUCUGAUGCAUGAACACAUGACUAAUAUAAUGCAUGAACAUAUGAAUAGAUAUGCAAUGGUACUUAGUAUUAAGUUUUAAAAAUAGAAUCCUAAACAUGAGACUGAUACCAAGUUGUAACUGAAAUAUUGACAUGAAAACUGAAAAGCUUAAGGAGAACUGUUACCUUGAGCUUGAUCUAAGUUAGAGAGGAAAAGGUGAGGAUACUUGGUUUGCAUAUCUGCUUCUACUUCCUAAGUAGCUCCCUCAACGGACUGAUUCAUCCAAAGAACUUUGACUAGAGAGACUUCUUUGUUCCUUAGUCUACAAGUUGAUAGUCUAGAAUUUCGACUGGAAUAUCCUCAUAAAAGAGUCUGUUUUGAACAUCUAUGCUUUGAAUAGGGACUACAAUUGCUGGGUCACCUAUGCACUUCUAGAGUAAAGAGACAUGGAAUACUGGAUGAACUGAGGCUAGAUCUGAAGGCAAUUCGAGCUCAUAAGCUACCUUGCCAAAACGACUGAGAAUUUUGAAGGGAUUGACAUAUCAGGGACUGAGUUUUCCCUUCUUGCCGAACCUCUUCACUCCUUUUAUGGGAGAGAUCUUUCGAUAGACAUAGUCACUAAUCUUAAACUCGAGAUCUUUUCUACACACAUCUGCAUAAGAAUUCCAUUGGCUCUAAGCAGCUCGGAGUCUUUCUCUGAUUAACUAGAAUUUUUCUAAAGUAUCCAAUACUAAGUCAGGUCCUAUGACUGAGGCCUCACUAACUUUGAACCAACUGACUGAAAUCUGCAUCUCCUACCAUAUAGAGCUUCGAACAGAGCCAUCUUAAUACUGGAGUGAUAGCUGUUGUUGUAUGCCAACUCAAUCAAAGUCAAGUGGUCAUCCCAACUACCCUUUAGAUCAAUUACACGCGCUCGCAGCAUAUCUUCUUGAGUCUAAAUAGUCCUUUCUGCUUUACUAUCUGGCUGAGGAUUGAAGGCUGUACUGAGAUGAACUUGGGUAUCAAAACCCUUUGGGAACACUUUCCAGAAAUAAGAGGUGAAUUGGGUACCUCUAUCUAAGACAAUAGACAAUGAAACACCAUGCAAUCUGACCAAUUCUCUGAUGUAGAGUUUGGCGUAAUCCUCGGCUGAAUAAGAGGUAUGAACUGGAACAAAAUGAGCUAAUUUGGUCAUUCAUUCUAUAACCCAAACUAAAUUAUCCUGGCGACGAGUAUGAGGCACACCCAUCAUGGGCUAGGCCCAAAUCUUUGACUGAGGUUCGUUGUUUCAUUAGUUUGGAUGGUUAUUAAAGAUGAUUUGUCGAGAAAUUUUCUACCAUAUCAAACCUUAUGACUAGAUUAACUCAAAAGGAAGUUUUUUUUCUAAUGGUCCGAGGAGUGUGAGUUGAGCUUAGGAAAGCUCAAAGAUUGUCUCACUUUACCCCCGAUGUUAGUCUUCCAGUUUAGGCAGAGGGAUUCACAGUGUUUUGUGAAGUAUCUAGGGUUGGUCUUGGAUGUGUUUUGAUGCAAUAGGGUCGUGUCAUUACCUAUGCUUCUAGAAAUCUUAAGGUUCAUGAGCGAAACUAACCCACUCAUGAUUUACAAUUGGACAUUGGUAGAUUUUGCGCUCAAGAUUUGAAGGCAUUACUUGUAUGGUAUGAAUUGUGAGAUUUUCAUUGAUCAUCGUAGUCUUCAAUAUCUUAUGACCUAGCAAGAUCUUAAUGCUUGCUAGCGCAGAUGGAUGGAGUUGCUAAAGGACUACGAUAUUUCUAUCUUGUGUUAUCCAGGUAAGGCGAAUAUGGUGGAUGAUGCAUUGAGUCAAAAGGUAGUGAGUAUGUGUAGUUUGACAUGUAUAUCAGUUUCUCAUAGGCCCUUGGCACGAAACAUCCAGUCCUUAGCCAAUUUGAUUGUUUUACUUGAUAUUUUGGAUCCUGCGAGGAUUUUGGCUUGUGCGGAGGUGAGGUCUUCCUUAUUUGAGAAGAUUCAUGAUCGUCAGUUUGAGGAUAGUAAGCCUUCUUCAUGAAUGGGUGAUGAGUGGUGAGUCUAGGAGACACAUCAUAGAUUCUGAGGGUUUUUUUAGGUUUUAGGGUCGUAUUUAUGUUCCUUGACUUGAUGACUUAAUUCAGUUGAUACUGUAUGAGGAUCAUAGCUCAAGAUAUUUUAUUCAUCCCGAUAUAGCCAAGAUGUAUAAAGAGUUAAGACAGCUUUAUUAGUGGAUCAGUGUGAAGAGAAAUAUGGAAGACUUCAUAGCUUAUUGCCUAUGCUGUCAGUAGGUUAAGGCCGAGCAUCAGCAUCCAGACGGUUUGACUCAGAGGUUACCUAUUCCUAAGUAGAAAUGGGAAAGGAUUACCAUGGACUUCAUUAGUGGUUUGCCCCAUACUUCCCAUUGUCACAAUGGUAUUUGGGUUAUUGUGGAUUAUUUGACCAAGUCAGCAUAUUUCCUUCCUAUUCAAAUAACCUUUAGUGCUGAGAGAUUGUCCUAAAUUUAUGUUUGAGAGAUAGUUCAUUUGUAUGUGUUCCUUGUAUCUCUUAUAUCAGAUCAUGGUUCUGUAUAUACUUUGCUAUUUUAGAGAUAAUUUUAGAAGGAGUUGGGUACUCGAGUGGAUUUGAGUACAAUCUUUCAUUCACAGAUGGGUGGUCAGUCUGAGCAGACUAUUAAGGUGCUUGAGGAUAUGCUCCAAGCUUAUGUUAUGGACUUUGGAGGAUAGUGGGACCAAUAAUUAGGAUUGGCAAAAUUUGCCUACAACAACAGUUACCAUUUAAGCAUUGAGAUGGUGCCUUAUGAGGCUUUGUACGAUAGGAGAUAUCGUUCCCCUAUAGGAUAGUUUGAGACAUCCGAGGUUAAACCCCUUGGUAUAGAUUUGCUUUAGGAAUCAUUGGAUAAAGUCAGGGUGAUUCAGGAUAAGCUGAGAGCAGCCCAUAGUAGGCAGAAAGCCUAUGCCGACCGUAGACUCUGUGCCUUGAGAUUUGGAGUUUGUGAUCAUAUAUUCCUUUGUUUUUCCCUUAUAAGAGGUGUGAUGAUAUUUAGGGGGAAGGGUAAGCUUAGCCAUCGCUAUAUUGGUCCUUUUGAGAUCCUUCGUGAAGUGGCCAAAGUUGCCUAUGAGUUAGCUUUGCCUUCAGACUUUGCCGUUGUUUAUCUAAUUUUUCAUGUCUCUAUAUUGUAGAAGUAUAUUCUAGAUCCUUCUUAUGUGCUUAGAUAGGACUCGGUCCAGUUGGACGACCAGAUGACCUUUAUGGAGGAGCCCAUGCUUAUUUUGGCUAGUGAUGUGAGGUGACUACAUUCUAGAGAGAUUUUGGUAGUCAAGGUUCAGUGGAGGCAUCACCAUUAGAGGAGGCUACUUGGGAGGUCGAGAGAGAGAUAUGGGCCCAGUAUUCUAAUUUGUUCAAGACUUUAAUAAUCUUCUUUGUCUUUAACUUUCGGGGACAAAAGUUCCUUAGUAGUGGAUGUUGUAAUGACCCUUCAGGUCAUUGUCCGCGUUCUUACUUAUUUUUCUCUAUAGAGCUUCUCCAUAGCUGCCCCAAGUCAUUUGUAACUUGAUGGAACCGAUAGUUCGAUUACCUGGCGGUUUGUUUGGUAUUUAGAAACACUUUCUCCAUUUGAAGUCUUUAUGGGUCUAAUUCACCACUGAGCAAAACCUUUAGUGAAAUGACCCUAAAUGCAAAAUUUAAUUUCAUCAAUACAUCCGAACCAUCAAAAUCUAUGUGGUUACAUAUCUUAUUUGCUUGAAAUAGACUUCGGAUACAUCUCUAGGCAUUGGUCGAUGCCUAAAACCAAGUUCUAAACUUCAAUCGUGCUUUCUAUAGGGAGAGAUACUGUGACCGCAGCGUGAGGGGUACAAAUAUGGUGCCAUGACCAAGCAGGGUCUGCGACCACACUACCUGAGGCUUAGGCAAAGCCUAUUUAAGGGUUGUCUUGCCCAAAAUUUUGGCCAUUUUUUGCCUCCCACUUUAGCUCUAAACCCUGAUAGGGUGUAAAAUAUUCAAGUGAACCUUGUGGAUUGAGUAAGAGCUUGAAUAACUUAUGUAAUACGUUUUUGCUACAUAUCUAAGGUAAGAUUCCUUCUAGUUUGGUUUUAAUUUCUUGAUUUCUAGACCCAAAACCCCUAACUCUUCGAGGCUAAAGUGUUGCCACAAAUGUGAUUAAUUUAUCCAAAUUUCUUGAGGGUUAUCGCUCCCUAAUAAUAGUUGAGCAAUGGGUUGGUCUCGUAAACUCAUUUUUCGAAGAUAGUACCCAUUAGGGGGUUUGGUGUCAUUUUGUACCAAUGGCAUGAUGGUGCCAUAAUGGGUGUUUUUAAUCUUGCAAUAAUGCUUAGAUUAUGCUGUGAUAGCUUGGAUCGUGGAAGAAGAAGCUUCAAAUAAAGGAAAGGCAAAGCUUGUUGGUUCGUGAGCAAUUGGACUCAAGUUUGGUUGGGCUUACUUGUAGUUAGAUUGAGCUUAAUUGUAGUAUAUUUAUGAUAUCUUUUAAGAUUGGAUGGGGUCUUAGAUGAUAAAUAGGUGUAUGAUAAUACUUAGGAUUAGUUGAUCCUCGCAGGCUCUUAAACUUCUAAAAUGUGAUGUUGAUUAUCGCCUAGAACCUUGGAUAGUUGUACUUGUAGUCUCAUGAAUAGAAUGAGAAUACUUUAGUUGAUCCAGUAGAGGAGAAUGAUGUUUUUGACUAAUCUUAAGAGUAUGUUGGCCUAUAUAUGAGUAGCUAUGAAUUGGCCUUAGUGUUUGGGGUGACUUAGAAAGGAUAUUUGAAGAGGAUUUUUCCCUCAUAGGCCUAGUAAGAAUUGAUAAGCCCUUAUGGUGUGAUUAGAUAACAUAGCCUAAUUUCGGGUAGAAGUUAGCCUUGUAGAAGUGAACUUUGCCAUUAUUGGGAUUUAGGAGUGGGACUUGACCUACCUUAAGCUUGAACUAUAUAAUUCCCUAGUGACCUAGAUACUUGAUGAACGUCUAAGUUACAUUAUUAAGGUUAUAAUGGUUGAACUCAGUUGUUGGAUAUGCAUGUGGUCAAUGGUUAGAUAAUGUGUAUACUUGAUUGAUUAUCUUGUUGUCAUGAUAUGGAUAGCCUUGGAAAGUCUUGUAAAUUGAACCUAUGGUUAUGCUAUCUCUUGGCUUAUUGAUAAGUUCACCUAGUGAACCUCUAAUUAUUUUAUCACCCUUGCUAUGACCCAAGCCUAAUGAUUAAGCUAAUGUUUAUGUGAUGGAUUUUCCUUUGGGGUUAGUUUUGUGAAAAGUGGGUGUAAAAGAGGCAUUUAGAGAGCAUGCACUUGACUUAUAACUGACUUGCUUAUGAACAUGUUAACUUGAAAAAUGGUGAUUGCGUAUGUCAUUUAGAUACUCAUUCUUAUGCAUCUACUUAUAUUAUAUAGUGAUGAUUAAUAGUAAAGUAUGAUGUAAUGAGUUACCUUACAUCACUUAUACUCUAUCAUUGUGGGUUGUACAUGCUUAUUUAUUUGACUACAUAUAUAUAUAUAUGUAUAUCAUUAUCUUGACAGAUGUGUUAUUGUGAUAAUGAUAAUCGGUGAAUUAGGAAGAUAUAUUGAUGUUAUGAUGAUACCCGAUGAAUCUGAAGAAUAUAUUGAUGUUAUGUUUAUGCCCAUGAAUUCGAAGGAUAUAUUGAUGUUAUGAUGAUGCCCGGUGAAUUCGGAGGAUAUACUAAUGUUAUGACGAUGCCCGGUGAAUCUGAAGGAUAUAUUGAUGCUAUGAUGAUGCCCGGUGAAUCUGGGGGAUAUGUUGAUAUUAUGAUGAUGCACGGUGAAUCCAGAAGAGGUAAUAAUGACGUGAUAACAUUAUAUGUGGUAAGUAUAUAUGUGAAUGCAUGGUUGUAUAUGAGAUUAUGCAGUGUUUGGCUAAAUCCAUUUGUGUACUUGGGACAUGAUGCCUUCCUUGGUAAAUUGUUAUCUAUUCUUUGUCAUUAAUUACUAGAUAAGAGGUGUGAUCUUUAUUAACUCUAAGUAGUAACUAGAAGUGGAUUAAGCUAAGUAUUGGAAAACUAAUUGAUAUGUGUAAUCUUGUGUAGAACCUAGGGCUUACCGAGUAAAUCUUAUUCACUUGGAUAAAUGGUUAUAAUAUGGAAUUUCGCUAGUGAAGUGGCUUAUGUGAUGGCUAGUUUUAUCUAAUAAAUGACUAAAACUUGUAGGCUAGACGCCUAGUGAGCUAGUUGGUGGACGAUAUUUAGCUAAAAUAUGGAAACUAGUCCUUAAGGUUGCAAUAUGUUCAAUGAUAAUAGACCUAGUAUUGUAUUACUAGUGGUUAAGUCAACAUCUAGUAUGUGAUGCCGUGGUGGCUUAAUUGAUGACUUAUAUAAUUAGGAGGCUAACUAGAAGAUGGCUUUGUGAUGGGCGAAUAAAUAAUAGUGUUAGUAACUUGUAGUUUUUCCUUAUUUGAUGACUAGUAAACUUGUAGACUUGCAAACUAGUGGAUCAUAGAAAUAGAGGCUAGCUAGUAUAGGCUAGACAUUAAGUUUAUUAUUGAAUUAGAGAUUAAAUAACUAUGUAACUAUGUUAUGGUGAUAUCAGUUUUGUUGUGUCAAAUUAUUGUGUUGAUGAUGAUUGUAGACCUCGGUAAGAGGCCAUAGUGGGAAUGUACAACCCGCAACCUUGGUGAGUUGUUUGUGUAGCUGUGCCUUGAUAUGUUGAUGAAUUGAUUUUUUGGUGUACUCUCUGGUGGUAUGGGACGUCGUGAUGAGUUCUUUAUUUGUCUUCCGUAUGUCUACUUCCUGGCGGUAUAGGACAUCGUGGUAAGUUCUUUUGCUAUAUAUUCUAAUGAUGGUAGUUGUGUUGAUUAUGGUAAUUACAUGAUUGUUAUUGUAUAUAUGCAGCUUUACGUUUCCAAAAUGAUUACUCAUGGUGUUUGAAAGUUAUGGUAUAUAUGAAUACAGAAUGUCAUACUAUUGUUCUAGUUGAUUAGUUAUCUUAUACAGUGAUAUUGGAAAAGAUUCAGAUUUGAUUUUGUACCUUGACUUUAAGUUAUUAUCUUACUCUAUAUCGUCCUUAUAUUAUAAUUUAGCUCAGUCGUCUGAUGAUGCCAAUUGAGUACCCGUGUUUUGGUACGCAUACUAUAUUUCUAUUCCUUUUUGGUGUAGACCCGAGUUCUAGUUGCCACUGUUGAGUCAAGAUCGUGCAAUGCUGAUUAUCAGGAUAUAGGGGUAAGCUCUUGGAGUUAGAGUUGCCCUUUUUCCCAUCUAGCGUUAUUCUGCGUUUUGUAUUCGAGACAAAUGUAUGAGACUAUGUAAGACUAUUUGUUGUUGAGUUUUAAUUUCUAUUGUCGAAUGUAGAGAUACUCUUAAACUAAUACUAUUAGGUCAUGAGAUUGGUAUUCGAAUGUUAUUUUUUUCUUUGUGGAAUAUCUUUGUUAUAUUGAGUUCCCAUAUAGGUUCCAUAUUGGAUUUUCCUAUCAAGGUAAUCCAUUGCAUUGGCUCUGGGUUAUGGUGUUGGCUUACCUACUGGUGGGUUAUGGUAGGUUCCAUCAUUACUCAAAAAUGGGUCAUGACAUGAACAAUCCGUUGGAUGAAAUCCUAUUAACUAUUCCAACAGCACAUGUCCAAGACUUUGAUUUCUCGCAACAGAUAAUUCAUCUGUUGCGACAGAUGAUGCUUCUGUUAGAAGAAAUUUAAAUAAUAUUGACAGUUGAUCUGUUACACAGACCAGUCACCUGUUUCAAUAGAUGAGUGAUCUGUUUUUAUUGUUUCAAACAUAUUACUUAUCUGUUGCAACAAGUUAGUUAUAUGUUACAACAGAUAACCUACCUGGUGCAACAGAUGUGUGAUCAGUUGGAAAUGCUAUUUUACUGUUGUACAUAUUAGAUUUAUUGUUAUCUUUUUUAGCGAUGCAUUAAUCAAUUAUAAUCUUUUUUUAUUUUCCUGUUAUUUUUAGAUAAUAUGGCUCCCAAAAGAAAAGAAACUGAAUCAAGUUCAAGUAAAAGAAAAAGUGAAGCAGCUAGGCUACAUCCACCACUUUAUGAGCUUGCUUUACAAGUGAUAUAUCAAUCAAAAGCAGAAGAUAAAGAACAUGGAGCAGAGAAAUAUUUCAAAAGAGAUGAUCCAAAAUCUAAUAGUCCUUCCAUUAAAGAGUUGGUCAAAACCUUCAGUAUUGAUAGUUAUCAUGUAAGAUGCAGUGCGAUAGUGCCAUAGAUUUAACUGGUGAUUUCAUGGUUAAGUCAGCCAUGGGAAAAUCUUUCGAUGACUUCCAAAAAUUACUUCAAGUAUAAAAAUUGGAUGCGUAUUUCAGGGAUAGUUGCUUUGGGCAAUAUUUUGAUUUGUCGGAGGACAACAAUGCUCGUUUCCAAAUGAAAAUGGUAUAUGAUCUUCUCUAGCAUAGGUUAAUGUAUGAAAAUAUAGAUAAGAUGGAUGAGGUGUGGAUAAAUUACUGUAGCAUACCUGUUUAUUUUGGUUGGAAGGAGUUUGCCAUAGUUACUAACUAAAAUAUUAUCCUCCUUCUAUUUCUCAAGUUAUACCUAUUCUAACCCAAAAAAAUACCCCCACACCCAAAAAAGGCAGAGACAAGUCAAUUGAUGGUGAUGACUUGGUGUCCCUUGUUGUUCCAAGCUUUAAAAAUAAAAAUUUGAUAGAAGUGUUGAAAGGUAAAAAAAUUUCAAAGAAGCACAAGCAGUCAUUGUGCUUGACUUGAUUUGUACAUAAUAUUCUUUGGGGGAGAGACGUUAACAACAAUGUACCGCUUGAUUUAAUAAAGUGCUCCGAGGAUCUUGAGGAAUUUAACACCUAUCCUUGGGGUUAUGAAAGCUUCACAAUGACGGUCAAAUAGUUGUUGACUCCGUUAACGCCAGAGACAAUCAACUUAUAUGGCUUUCCCUAGGAUUUCAUUGUAACUUUUUCUUUUAUAAUGAUUCAUUUAUAUUUUAUUGAAUAAUAUUUUUGAUUUAUUGGCGUUAUUUUAUAGUCUUAGGCAUUUGAAGACAUUCCUUAUUUGAGACAACAAGUGAACUACCGGGAAGAAGAUUCAUGUCCAAGAAUCUUGAGAUGGUUGUCGGCUAAAAGUGAUAAAAAUAACAAAUUUCUUGAUCUCUUAUUAAUGAUUUUAAUUAAGUUUUUAUUUUAAUUAAUGAUUUUUUUAAAUGAAUUAAUUAUCAUUCUAAUAUAUGUACUAAUUUAUUUUAGAUUGUGCAUAUGUGGCUUGUUUCGACCAAUUAAGAGUUGAAUAUGUCAUUUUUUCUUACUUUAUUGUCUAUGCAAACUUUAUCGGACUCUAAGGUCAUUGAUAAAAUAAAAAAGCAAUUGGUUGGAGUAGCAUCCAUCACAAGAAAAAUAAUUUUGGAGGGUGGGCUUGUUGUUGUUGAUAGUGUUAGUGGUGAUGGAGCUGUGGGUGGUGGUAGUAUGUGGUAGUGGUGCUGCUGUUGGGGCUUAUGAUGCUCCUCUUAUAAUUUUUGAAAUAACAAACCAUUAUGAUUAGGAUCAUACUGGUUAUACAAAUUUUGCCCCUCCUAGCAAAUGUUUUGCAUGCAAAUGUCAAGACUGCAAAGGAAAACAUGAUGGAGUGAUUAAUGUUAUUAACGCAUUAACUAUUUCUGCAAAGGAGUUGACAUCUAAGAGGGUUGUCAUUCAAUCAAAGAGGAUUUCAUAUCCAUAGACCCCAUUAGAGAUUAAGGCAGCUAAGAGGAGAAGGAGGAAAAUUUUCAAGGCAUCAUUACGCAUCAAAAAAAAGCAAAAUUACAACUCUUUUGUCUUUGUCUUGCACCUUUGAUCUAUAUACAAGGACCACAGAAGAGAAACAUGAGCUGAAGAAGCAGAAUAUAUAUCAUCUGUUCUAAUAAAUAAAUAGACACAUAUCUAUUUCAAUAGAUGGUACAUCUGCUGAAAAUUAUCAAACAUAUAUAUACAUUUGUUGCAAUAGUUGACUAACCUGUUGCAUCAGAUACAUUAUCUGUUGCAACAUAUGUCUCUUCUAUUUUAGCAAAUCAAACAGUUAUUUGUAAUGCUUUAAUUUGUACCAACAGAUGAGCUAUCUACUGCAACAGAUAGGUCAUCUGUUGGGACAAAUUAAAUCAAACUUCUUACUAUUUAUUUUUCCAAAAAGAUGAGUUAUAUAUUGCAACAGAUGAGUCAUCUGUUGAAAAUUAUCAUACAAGUUUUCCUCAUGUUUUAAUUUAUCCCAACAGAUGAUCCAUCUAUUGCAAUAGAUAGAUAAUCUGUUGGGAUAAUAUAAAAUAAGAAGAAGAUCUAUUUGAUUUGCUAAAAUAGAUGAGUUAUCAUUUUCUAUUUUUUUUGUAUCUCUGUGAUUAGCAUUGAUAACUUUGGCUUUCUAGGUGGAUGUCACAGUAGAAGCUAUUUCUGAAUAGCAUAAUAUCACAGUUCAUAAUCCAUCAAUUACUUCCAAAAAUAAAGAAAAUGUGAAGCAUGUCAGUCCGGAAAAAUGGAAUAGUUACCCGUUUAAAGGGUUCAACAUCUCAAACGAGGCUCCAAAAGAACUAACAAACUUAAAUUGUUGAGUAGAUCUUUAUAGCUUGAGUCUGUCAAAGUAAUAACCUCUCCUUAGGAAUUAUUGGCACCAAAACUUAAAUUAUUGAUUUAUUUGUUGAGUAGAUCAUCUGUACCCAUAAUAAUUUUUUUACAUUUCAUUUAUUUGUUGAUUUAUUUCAUGUAAUUUCUGAAGGCUUCAAUUUAUUUUAUUUUGUCUAUGAAUUUUAUUUUAUCCUUAGAUUUGAACUUAUUAAUUGAAAUAAAAUACUAGAUUCAAAUUUUACAGCAAAUAAUGCAUCUGUUGCAACAGACGCGAUAUCUGUUGGAAAGUAUCAAACCGAUUUUGACAUAUGUGGUAACAUGUAGGUCAUCUGUUGGAAAUUAUCAAGCAGGUGUUCCUACUAAUUUGAUUUGUUCUAAUAAAUGACUUAUCUGUUGCAAUAGAUAGACUAUAUAUUGCAAUAAAUAGUCUAUCUGUUGUAACAGAUAGACUUAGAUAUAAACAUCUAUAUAAUGCAACAGAUGAUCAACCUAUUGCAACAGAUAAUCAAUCUAUUAGAAUAGAUAGACUAUUUGUUACAACGUAUAGGCAAUCGGUUGCAUUAUAAAUAAUUCAACUUUCAUCAAACAUAAACAAUUGUCACUACAUGUAAAGUGACUUGAAAUAAAAAUUGUCAUGGUGGUGUUUGUGUUUCUACAUCUUCUUCGUUUAUAUUCACAGGAUCCAACCUUUAAUCAAUACCCCAUAAGCCCACACCUCUUGUAUCCUUGCCACAAUGUUGUCACACAGAAAGGUCAUUGGCUCGGCCAUUUCUAUACCGAUCAGUAAAUAUUCGAUGUAUUCAAGUGCAUAUGACCUGCAUGCGGCACUGAUUUCAUUUCUUAGAAGGUUUAUGUCCUUGUUUCGACCUUAAAAUCCCAUCUUUCAUUCAGCACUUUCACUGGAAAAUGAUCCAUUAGUUUACUCUGCCUCAACAAGUUGGGGAAUAAAUCAAAUAGUGGCUACAUAUGGGUAAAAUAAUCAUCCUCGUCAAAGACAGGUUCGUUGCAGUCAUAAACCUUCAUCAUUCCAUCCUUGAGUAGUAUCUCAAGAGCCAGAAAAUCUUUUACCUCCACAUUCAUUACUGCAAGAAUUCUCUUGACCUUGAUCUAACUCUUUCGGUGUGGAUAUGGCCUCUUUCAUCUGACAUAAUUAAUCAUAUCUUCAUCUCAUUGUAAUCUAGAAACUAAUAAAUCAAAUACCGGGCUAUCUAGAGUUGACGCUAGCUGAAUGAGCUCAUCAUACCUAUCCUUGAAAUUAUUGUAGAAAUUGAGGUCCAUUAUCCUAUCGCCAGCAUCAUAAGCUUCCGGGUACGUUAAUUUCCUACACCUCAUAAGGCAGAGAAUUUCAUUAACAUACUUUGGUAUAAGAAGAUAAUUUUAAAAUAAGUUAGUAAUUUUAAAAAAUAAAAACAAAGUGGAAAGAUGCAACGGAUGGCCCAUUUGUUCCACAGGGUUCUCUGAAUCUAUUAACAGAUUACCCAUCUAAUGCAACUUAUGCAACGGAUGGGCAAUCUGUUGCAAUAGAACCACUAUUAGUUGCACCAGAAUGCCUCGAUAUUACAAUAGAUAACACAUCUAUUGCGUAGCUUCUUCUUCGUGGAGUAUAUUAGAAGGAUAGAUUAGAAAAAGUAAACUUACCGUAUCCACGUACCACUGAUCCAUAUCUGUAAUCUUCUUGAAUUCCUAGGGGAAAGGGUAUUCAUCAUGAAAGUUUUUGCGUAUUUCUUGGAAUUUAUGGUCUUUCUUAGAACAACAUUCUGUUUGGUGUCAUGUUCUAUGUAUAUGUCCACCUUCUUUGAUGGUCCCUAAACUUCAACAACUUUUGGAGAGGAAGGAGCUGCAAUUUUUUUGGUUUCAUAAAUGAGAGCAUAUUUUUAAUUACUUUUUUUCCUAACUGGCACUGUAGGAUUGUACGACUUACUCACCUUCUUGGAUGGUAUGACACCCCUCUUGAAUUUCAAUUCCUCACAGCUUUAGCGAUAGCCUCUACUUUUUCAAAGAUUUUAUCCUGUCUGUCCAUGCACUCUUUGCAUUUACAAUAAGAACAUUAGAGUGAAGAGGGGUGAGAGGGAUCACUAUAAGGGUUAGAGGGAGUGGUGUAAGGGUGAGAGGGACCAGUGUAAGGGGUGAUUUCAAAUAUGUUUUUGUUUCUUGAGCAUCAACAUGCUCAUCAUCAAGACUGCCAUCAGCAUCAGCAUGGCUGCCACCAACAUCAACAACUUCCCCAUCAAUACCCCCAUAAGUAGCAGCCAGAUCUAUUGCAGUAGGUUAGUCAUGAAGAGCCUCAACAUUAGGUUGACCUUGCCUAACUACUCUUCUUAUGGUUGUUGCUCCAGCCAAUUCUUUCUAUAUUAACUCUACUGUUGGGUCUUCUAUUGUAUUAACAAGACAUAGAGAAAUAAAAGAAGUUAUCUCUAACUUUUGUUGAGUGGGUACUAUCCGUGGAUGCACAGCCUAAAAAGGGGUAAAUACGUUUAAAUCAAAUAUUAAAAUGCAGUCACUUGGUUUAUAUGUUAACACAGAUAACUUAUACAACAGAUGAUCUUUAUGGUGUAACAGAUGAUUCGUAUGUGGCAACAAAUUAACUAUCUAUUGCAUUAGAUUACCUAUUUGUUGCAUAAGUUGCAAUAGAUAGGUAAUAUGUAAGUAAGGAUCAGGUAACCAAAGUAAUAAAUGGGUAAUGUAUUGCAAAAAAGGACUCAUCUGUCGUAACAGAUUACAAAUCUGUUGCACCAGAUGAGCAAUCUAUUAAGAUAAAUUGUAACGAAUUAUAAAUCUAUUGCAACAUAUGAAUCUUUUGUUUCAAUAUCUUUUUUUGAGUAAAAUUAUUUUACUUGAAAGAAGACUUACUGCAUCAUCUAGACUGUUAAAGAGAUCAACCUCCUUAAUUCUUGUGUUGCUUUCUGCAGCUAACCACAUAAGGAUCCUUGGAUAAGAAACCUCAUCUGAAUAAUCCUGGUCCUACUUUUGGAGGGGAGAAAUGACUUCAAACACCCAAGCCUAAAAAAUAUAAAAAGAAAGCAAACCAAAAAAAUUCAUAAUAAUUAUUCAAUAGAAACUAAUGCAAGAGUAUACAAAUAGUGAUUAAAUAUACCAUGAAAGCCGAAGUAAAGAUGUACAAGGUGACCGUCUUUGGGGAUAGCUUUAUCAAUAAAUAUUUGACAGUCAACUUGUAGUUGUCAUAUCCCCAGAGAUGAUUGUUGGAUUUCUCAAGAUCCUCAGCAAACCCCAACAAAUCAUCUUCUAUGACUUUGUAGACAUCUCUUGCCAAUAUAACAGAAUGAGCAAACCAAACUAAGCACAAUUACUCUUUGUACUUCUUUGUUAUGACUUUAUCCUUGAGAUCUUCUAACAACAUUAUGGCUCUGUAGCCACGCCCAACAAUGUCUAACAACCCAUCUAUUUUUUCCUUACGUUUGUUGGUUUUGGUAGGUUGUCGCUUGGACAAUGCCUUCCCUUUAUUUGAUGGUGGUGCUUUGGCUGUCUUAUUUGUCUUGGAAUUUUUGUGGGAUGUUUCUUUGAUGAGUGGUUAUUGUGUAUGAUCGUAUCUCAAGCCUAUCACUAUGGGAAACUCUUUCAUGCCAAAACAAACCGGCAUACCACAGUAGUUGAUCUAGAUUUCAUCCAUCUUUUUGCCCCCCUUCCUCCUUAAGAUAUUUAUCAUCCCCUACGUACUUGAUCCUGUGCUUGAGAAGACCAUAUAUCAUGCUCAAUUGGAAACAAGCAUUGUUGUCCUCAGCCAGAUCAAGAAAGUCUCCCAAGCAAUUCUUCUUAAAAAAUCCAUCUAGUUUUUCCUUCUUCAUAGUAUUCCUAAAGUCAUUAAAAGGUUUCCCAACUGAGAUUUAAGUAAAAAAAUCACCAGUUAGUUCUGCAGGGUCAUCUAUCAGUAUCGUAACUUGAAACCUAUCAAUACUAAUAGUUUUGACCUGAUCAUGCUAGAAUUUCAAUCUUAAUUCACACCCCAUUGGUGAUGCACUAUCAUCAUGUUGAUCAUCAUCAUCUUUUUCACUUUCUACUUCCUCCUCUUCUUGUUUAUCUUAUUAUUCUUUCUCCUCACUUUUAUUUUCCUUACCAGCCUAUACAUAGUCUUCUCCACCUCCCUCAACAUCAUUUUCAUAACAUUCCUCAGCUUCACUUUUCCCAGAUUGGGAUUGAUCAGGAAAUUCCUCUAAAUCCAUUUGUACUCUAGCCUUUUUUGUUAGGUGGUCAGAAGUUGAUCCACUUUCAAUUUUUUUUUCUUUUGGGAGGCAUCUUUUAACUACAAACAACAGAAAAAGAAAAAUCACAUUAUAAUUGAUGUCUGCAUAAUUUUUAAAAAAAGGUAAGACAAAUUUCAAUAAAUUUUUAUACGCCACAUUACAAAAAAAUAUUCCAACAGAUAACCCAACAGUUGGAACAGAUGAAUCAUCUAAUACGGCAGAUGUAUAAUCUGCUCCAACAAAUGAACAAUCUGAUGGAUGAGAUCAAAACAGUCUUGCUACUAGUUUGUUUUAAUCCCAACAACUGAAACAUUUGUUGCAAUAGGUGGGAAUUUGUUUGAAGACCUAUUUUAAUAUCUCCCAAUAAAUGUUCCACCUAUUGCAGUAGAUGAACCACUAACACCAACACCAACACCAAAACCAAAACCACCACUAACACCAACACCAAAACCAAAACCACCACUAACACCAACACCAAAACCACCACUAAUACCACCACUACCAACACCACCAACACAACCAAUGCCACCGAUACCAACACCAACAAUGCCACCAAUACCAACACCACCACCAAGACCACUAAUACCAACACCAACACCACCAACACCCCCAAUUCCGCCUAUACAAACACCAAGACCACCAACACCACUACCAACACCACCAAUACCACCAUUAAUACCACCACCAAUACCAAUACCACCAAUACAAAUACCACCACCAAUGCCACUAAUAGAAAUACCAAGACCACCAACACCACCAAUACCACUACCAAGACCACUAACACCACCAUAAAUACCACCACCAAUACCAAUAUCACCACCACUACCAAUUGUCGUACCCUAUUUUUACCUAAGGUCAAAAUGAGUACGACAUUAUGGACUCAAAAAGAAUUGAUUUUAUACAGAGUCACCACCUAAUUUUUAAGGAAAAAUGGGAAACCUAUUUAUUUAUUUAAUAAGUAUGACUUUAUUCUAAUCUACGAAACCAAUUUAAAUUCUAAGUGAGGGUUCAAAUUAUUCCAAAAGGAAGGUAUUAGGUACCCUUCAAAAUCCACAAAUGUGGUUCCCGACCAGACUUAGGUUUAUUAAAAGAAAGAGAAAAAAUUGAUGUUUGUAAGUACAAAUACAAAAAUGCAUAUUAUAACAAUAUAAACAAUUUAUGUAUAAAGAAUGUAUAAAUUGCAUGUGUUAUUGUAAAAAUAUAUGUAUAAAACGAGUAUGAAAAUAAACGAAAGUACAUGAGAAUAUGUAUGAAAAAUGAAAAGAUUAAAUAAAGAAAAAUUAGUUCAAAGGAAAAGAUUACGUAAUGGUUUUAGCGUAAAAAAUAUGAAUUAUUUGAUUUAAUAUCUAAAUCAAUUUAAUUCUUUUAUAUAAAUAGUAACGACCUAAAUUUGCCUAACACGCGAUAAGAAUUGCGUAAACAAAGAAUAUCCCUCCCAACACCCAAAAAUAAAGCUUUCUCUAUAAUAGUAUUUGUACAAGUAUAAAAGAAUAUAAAAAUACAAAUGUAAAACUUAAGUUCUUCUUUGCAUGUUAUUCCCGAUGAAUAUUCCUAAUAACUUAUAUAAACACUUGUAAUAAUAAUGUUAGUAACAAAUAAAUAAUAACAAAAUAAAUUAUAAAAGUACGUGUGCAUAUAUGUAUUUAAAAAUUUAAUUUUGUUAAAAAGUGUGGCCUCAGAUUAGAUUUUAAAAUGGCAUGGCUACGAUAUGAUUGUUGAUUUAUUAGCCGUCCUAAAUCGUCUUGCCAAGAUAUUGGAAUCAUAAAACUCUUUGCAUUGUUAUAAAAAUUUCAUCAUCACCCAAAUUUAUUUAUUUUAUUACGUAUUUAUAUAUGUAAUAGCCGUCUUUUAUUUGGCCUCAAAAAUCAAUCGAAAAUUUCUUCAUCUGCUAAGUGUCGGUCCUUAAUAUAAAUAAUAAUUUUGAUAAAAUAAAAUCCGUCUUUUGUAAUGGGAUAGCCUCAAAUAUCAAGUCGGAGAGAUAAUUUCAUUGGUCAAUUUAACAAUGGUAAGUAGGAUCUAAAUUAAAAAGACAUUAAAAUAAAAUGCCACACCGAUUAAACUUUAAAUAAAACAAAAAAAUAUAUGAAAAUCAAUACAUUAUCUUAACAAAAUAACUCCAAAUUAAUAUAAUACUAAACAAUAAAGUAUUCAACUUAAACUAGUGAAAGUCACUAAAUAACUAGAAAUUGGCCAGAUGUGAUAAUGGAUAGCCGUGAAAUAAUUAGAAUGGAAGAGAAAAAUAAAAAUCAGUCACACAUAUCAUCAAAACAAAUAACAAAAAUAAGUCACAUAACAGGAUGAAAACAAAAUUCACUGAGAAAUGCUAGAAAAAACCCAUUUAAAAAAUAUUAACAUCAAAGCAAAUUAAGUAGACAGAGCAUGAGAAUUGUCACCACAACAGUUAUUUGCUAACCAAAUAUUAAAUCCAUCGAAGUUUCAAUGAAAAACAUUGGCGGUGUGCCGUUCACUGGAGUUGGCAUCGUUUUUGGUUGAUCCCGACAGUCACCUGAAUGGUGGUGGUGUUGGGAUUCACUUGUAGCUCGUCGGUAAUCACCUCCGUUGAGAUAAAAGGGGAAGAGGGAAGAGGAAAAGGGAAAGGUAGUGUAGGCAGUGGUGCUUGUUGGGGGAGAUGGUGGUUUGCCAGCAAAAAGUUUGCCGAACUCCGAUGGUUGCUAGCGGCAGUGAGAGGGAGAAAGAGGAGAAAGAGAAAGAUGAGGGAGAGAAGGUGGGAAAGGAGAGAAGAUGCAUUGGUUUGAGAGAGAAAAAGUCUGAUUUGGUUUUUCUUUAUUUUGUGUAUUUUUGUGUGGUGUAAAAAAAAUA